AUUGAACGCUGGCGGCAGGCCUAACACAUGCAAGUCGAGCGGAUGAAGGGAGCUUGCUCCUGGAUUCAGCGGCGGACGGGUGAGUAAUGCCUAGGAAUCUGCCUGGUAGUGGGGGAUAACGUCCGGAAACGGGCGCUAAUACCGCAUACGUCCUGAGGGAGAAAGUGGGGGAUCUUCGGACCUCACGCUAUCAGAUGCGCCUAGGUCGGAUUAGCUAGUUGGUGGGGUUAAGGCCUACCAAGGCGACGAUCCGUAACUGGUCUGAGAGGAUGAUCAGUCACACUGGAACUGAGACACGGUCCAGACUCCUACGGGAGGCAGCAGUGGGGAAUAUUGGACAAUGGGCGAAAGCCUGAUCCAGCCAUGCCGCGUGUGUGAAGAAGGUCUUCGGAUUGUAAAGCACUUUAAGUUGGGAGGAAGGGCAGUAAGUUAAUACCUUGCUGUUUUGACGUUACCAACAGAAUAAGCACCGGCUAACUUCGUG
RNAcentral lists this ribosomal RNA (484 nucleotides) under uncultured bacterium. Its description in RNAcentral is "partial 16S ribosomal RNA". It matches the Rfam family "Bacterial small subunit ribosomal RNA", at positions 30 to 507 of the family's 1533-position model. The record is from RNAcentral.